AUUUUAUAUGAGAGUUUGAUCCUGGCUCAGGAUGAACGCCGGCGGUGUGCCUAAUACAUGCAAGUCGUACGCAC
This 74-nucleotide ribosomal RNA is filed under the name Limosilactobacillus reuteri. RNAcentral describes it as "Lactobacillus reuteri partial 16S ribosomal RNA". It matches the Rfam family "Bacterial small subunit ribosomal RNA", at positions 1 to 71 of the family's 1533-position model. The record is from RNAcentral. Lineage: Bacteria; Bacillati; Bacillota; Bacilli; Lactobacillales; Lactobacillaceae.